UUGACAAAUAAGUAGAAAAGGCAAACAAACUUUUAUUUUCAUUUUUUUUUAAUUUAUUUAUUUAUUAUUAUUAUUUUUUUUAUUAUUAUUAUUUUCUUUUAUGGUACUUUGAGAAGACAAAUGCAAAACGUAAAAAAAAACUUUUUGAGUUUUUGGAUCUUGAAGAACAAAAGCCAUAAAGAAUUCUAAAAUAAACUACGACAUUUCUUUUGAUUCAUUCUUUUCGACUCACUUUUUCUAUUUUGUUUUCCUAUAUUUUUCCUCUUCUGUUUUUCUUUUUCGUUUUUGCCUACGCACCUUACUCCUAACAGUUUUUUUUUUUACUUUAUUUUAUUUAUUUUUUUUCUUUUUUGAAAAAUCAAUCCGUCAAAUGACCACGUUACCCUUAAAAAUGCAACAGUUAGCACGUAGGGAUGCUUUAGAGGGGAGUCUCCUACAAAGGGCCAUGUGGGUCCCGCUAGAUCUCCGUAUGAUGCACAUAAGCAUGACCUAAAGGCUGACCUACGUUGUGGUUCACUAACAAGGCUNNNNNNNNNNNNNNNNNNNNNNNNNNNNNNNNNNNNNNNNNNNNNUAACACAUAGGAUAAAUACUAUAAACAAAGAGCACGAAAACGCACAAAAGUGAAAAUAACAUCAACAAUAAUCACAAACAAUGCUUAUACACUCAUAAUGCCAAACAAAGCCGAUACGACUCAAAAAUAAGCUCGAAUUCUUAUAUUGUACCCAGCAGAGUCGCCAGAGCUGUCACACCCCUUUAACGUACUCCAAAAAAAUGGUUAUAAUUUAAUGUUCGAAAAGGGUUUUAUUAUUUAAGUGACAAGAAAUGAAAAUUGAUCUCGGAAAAGGAUUAUUUACAUUUUUUACUCAGAGUUGCCACUUGGCAUAAUCUGGCGUGCCAAGUCACCAUUAGAAAAUCCUUUUCAAAACCGUUUGACUCUUUCAACUGGUUUGCGAACAGAGAUUCCGACUAGGAAAUUCUGUUGACCGAGGGGAAGGUAUUAGGCACCUCUCGAUCCCGUGGUUCAACCACGCCCGCUUGGUAGAGUGUAUCGACUAUUUGGCACUAAGAAAUGUACAAACCACACAAGAAGCACGCAAAAUAAUCAAACAAAACAAAACACCCCGAAAUGUAAAGUCCAGUCCAAUUAUUACAACCCAAAAUAAAAAGGGACUGAAAGUAAACCUACGCUAAUCCUAAACUAAUGCUCUACCCGACGCCUCGGGCCUUCACCACGCACGUUCUCCGGGUACAUGAUACCUUGGGGCAUUCCCCGGUGAAUAAAUAUAUACAGAUACUUCGGGACAUUCCCCGGCCAAAUUAUACAAUUGAUUCAAAAGUGAUAAAAUCAAACCAUUCAAUCAAAUUUCCAAAUAUUCAAUCAACCCACAAUCUCUAGAUUUGCCUACCCGACCUACUUCUUGCCUAUUCCAAUCAACGUAUCUUGAUACUACCAAAUUCAAUUAAUGUUUAUUUCAAGUCAAACAACUAAUGAAUCAAACUAAUCAAAUCACCAAUUAUAUCAAAUUUUUAAUUCUCACCCCACAUCCAUUUUUUAACUGCAUGAUUAGUGCAUGCCUCAAUUUUCCAAUCACAUCUCAUAAUCCGAAACCAACAUCAAACACAAAACAAACAACGAAGAUUCAAACCAAACACACAAUAAAUAAAUCAUCCACACCCACAACAUCAAUAAAGAGUCAAGAUAAAGUAAAGAUGGUAGAAGAAAUGGACCUCAAUGAAACUGAUCCUUGUCGAUAAUAAAGAAAUUCGAGACCGAAAUCCUCGAAUCAGGGAACCCAGCGACGAACACACAAAAUCAGUGUCCUGACAUCGCCAUCCGAAUAGAAUUCAAACCAAGAAGAAAAACCUCGAACAUAAAAUCCAAACUCCGAAUGUUUACACGAUUUAAUCACGAAAAAAAAAACCCCAAAAGCACGAGAUCAAGAACGAAUCAAGAAAAUAGACGAUCCCGAAGCCCCGAAAUCUAACAGUGAACUAAAGGUCAGUCCAAAUCCGAACUCCAGUAAGGUACGAAGGGCAAAAAACCAACAAAACAAGACGGAUUCCGGUGAAACCUUGCAUUUUCCGACCAAGAUGUCCCUAAAUCAAAGGAAGAUCAAGAGAUUUCCGCGAUUAUGAGACUGAUUCGACCGAACUGAUGACGGAAAAACUGAUUCCGGCGUAGGUGUUGCCGGAAAAAGCUCAAAAGGGAUCCGGGCUUCUUGCCGUUUUCCUUGUUUCGUCACCGAACCUCCGUCAAAUACCCUCCAUGCUAUCGUUUCUUCUUACUGCGGGCAUGUGUGCGUGUGUGUGAGUGACCAUGAAGAAGCCGAUGGUCAGUGGAGUAGAAGCCCCUUUCCCGUUUUUUUUUUUUAAUGGAAUCCUCUGCUUUUUUUUUUUGUCAAAAAAAAAAAUGCUGAAUAUGUCCCUUUGUGUAUGUAUAUAUAUAUGAGGUGAGGGUGGGGUAGUGAGGUAGGGUAGGUGGGGUCACGUGGGGUAGGGGUAGGUGUGAUGUGUUUUAUUUUGACUGGGUAGGUUGUUAGGAUGUGUUGUCAAUUUUUGGUUGGGUGGGUUGUUAGAAUAUUAGGAUAUGACAAAAUUAGUUAGGGGAUUGUUAUUUUUGUUAUUUGUGGAGGGAUUAUCACACGGGUGAGGGUACACGGUAGGAUAACAUAGAAUGGGUAAAAGUGAAUAAAAUUGAACUUUAAGAGAGACGAAAUCACGUGUCUACAACAACUACACCAUUAACAUCUAAAAACAGCCACUAAACUAAGUUGAAAACAUGGCUAAAAAAGCUGGAUAAUGUCCAACAAUUUCUCCUACUUUUACUGCAGUAACUGAGGCAAUAAUCAACAGAAAUUGGUGACUUAGUCUUGGACCACUUGGUUUAUGAUAUGGCUCAACCUCUUUCAUUAAAACUAGACAACCAGACAUGUUCACAUUUCUGAAGGUCCCAUACUAAACAAAAGCACAUGGUCUGCCUACUUAUCUCAAGUAGGAAACUUUAGCUACAAUUCAAAUUAGCCUUAAGUCCUUAACUUUAUAUAAAAUUUCUUCCAUCAGAC
Molecule: long non-coding RNA, 3063 nt
Filed under: Capsicum annuum
Lineage: Eukaryota; Viridiplantae; Streptophyta; Magnoliopsida; Solanales; Solanaceae
Description: long non-coding RNA (CANN_LNC021873)
Source: RNAcentral